AAUGAAAGGUAUUCAGGAGGGAGAGGACAACGUCGCCCCGCCGGACAAUUUACUGCCCUUCUCUGGAAAUUCCUCCUGAUCCAGGAACCCUGACUGCCUGUGUUGGACCCAUCCAGUGGGAAGCAAGGAUGACCUCAACCUUGGAGCGGCCCAGUCCUGCAGCGGUGCGAGACCCUGGUCACAGCUCCAGACGAAGGAUAAACAAAUUCCUGACUAAUGAGGGAUGAAGUGGGAGGAGGCCCGACUUCGCACCCGACUCUUCCUGCCGACGACACACUCGGACUCGGCACAUUCAGCUCCAGAUCAGAUAAGGACAACAUUCCCACCCGGGCCGAGACUCGGAGAACUGACAAGCUCUUGCACUCCGACGCUGACAGCACGGACCUGCUGGGGAGUUACGCAACGCCUGGUGUCGUCCCAGAGGCCUGCUUCCUGAAGACCCCCCCACACCCUCCUCCGCCGCUGAACAGUGACGCACCAGCAGCAGUUUCAGUCAGGAGUCGGGCCGGAUGCCCCGCAGUGGCGUCUCCCCCUGACGGCGCUCGUGUCAACAUGUCAGCCAUGUUUUCGCACCUUGUGCGGGAUGUGGGUGUACAAGUGUUGGUCCAGCUGACAGACAGCCUCCUCUGACCCGACUUUCCCCGCUCACCUCCACCCGGCGAGUCUGAGAAGGAAACUGGAGGAUGAGUCUGUUGUCAACAGCCUGGCCUGGAGGCAGGGUUCGGGGCUUCUGCCUCACGUCGGCUAAUUUCUCUCACGGCUAAUAAAGGGUCAGCAAGUCAGGAAACAAAAUGAA
Synchiropus splendidus (mandarinfish) is the source of this 796-nucleotide long non-coding RNA. RefSeq lists it as uncharacterized. The record is from RefSeq and is a predicted model, not a curated record. Lineage: Eukaryota; Metazoa; Chordata; Actinopteri; Syngnathiformes; Callionymidae. The transcript has 4 exons.